CAUUAUAAAGCUAUUAAUGCAUUAACAUUUUAAGUUAAAGACUAGGAGUUUAAAUCUCCUUAUAAUGA
RNAcentral lists this transfer RNA (68 nucleotides) under Ictidomys tridecemlineatus (thirteen-lined ground squirrel). Its description in RNAcentral is "Spermophilus tridecemlineatus (thirteen-lined ground squirrel) tRNA". It matches the Rfam family "tRNA". From Rfam's summary of the family: Transfer RNA (tRNA) molecules are approximately 80 nucleotides in length. The record is from Rfam by way of RNAcentral. Lineage: Eukaryota; Metazoa; Chordata; Mammalia; Rodentia; Sciuridae.